This 443-nucleotide ribosomal RNA is filed under the name uncultured Shuttleworthella sp. RNAcentral describes it as "bacterial SSU rRNA". It matches the Rfam family "Bacterial small subunit ribosomal RNA", at positions 338 to 795 of the family's 1533-position model. Lineage: Bacteria; Bacillati; Bacillota; Clostridia; Lachnospirales; Lachnospiraceae. The record is from RNAcentral.
CCUACGGGUGGCAGCAGUGGGGAAUAUUGCACAAUGGGCGAAAGCCUGAUGCAGCGACGCCGCGUGAGUGAGGAAGUAUUUCGGUAUGUAAAGCUCUAUCAGCAGGGAAGAAAGAAAUGACGGUACCUGAGUAAGAAGCUCCGGCUAAAUACGUGCCAGCAGCCGCGGUAAUACGUAUGGAGCAAGCGUUAUCCGGAUUUACUGGGUGUAAAGGGAGCGUAGGCGGCAGAGCAAGUCUGAUGUGAAAGCCCGGGGCUCAACCCCGGUAGUGCAUUGGAAACUGUUCAGCUCGAGUGUCGGAGGGGUAAGCGGAAUUCCUGGUGUAGCGGUGAAAUGCGUAGAUAUCAGGAAGAACACCGGAGGCGAAGGCGGCUUACUGGACGAUUACUGACGCUGAGGCUCGAAAGCGUGGGGAGCGAACAGGAUUAGAUACCCGUGUAGUC